CUGGAACGGGACGCCGCAGAGGGUGAGAGCCCCGUACGGUUGGACGCCGAGCCUCUGUGAAGCUCCUUCGACGAGUCGAGUAGUUUGGGAAUGCUGCUCAAAAUGGGAGGUAAACCCCUUCUAAAGCUAAAUACUGGCCAGAGACCGAUAGCGCACAAGUAGAGUGAUCGAAAGAUGAAAAGCACUUUGAAAAGAGAGUUAAAAAGCACGUGAAAUUGUUGAAAGGGAAGCGCUUGCGACCAGACUCGCGCCCGUCGGAUCAGCCGUCGCUCGCGGCGGUGCACUCCGGCGGGCUCGGGCCAGCAUCAGUUCGUUGGGGGGGAGAAAGGCGGCGGGAAUGUGGCUCCACGGAGUGUUAUAGCCCGUCGUGUAAUACCCCCUGGCGGACUGAGGACCGCGCGUAUGCAAGGAUGCUGGCGUAAUGGUCGUCAGCGACCCGUCUUGAAACACGGACCAAGGAGUCGUCCUAAUAUGCGAGUGUACGGGUGUCAAACCCCUGCGCGUAAUGAAAGUGAACGGAGGUGAGAGCUUCGGCGCAUCAUCGACCGAUCCUGAUGUUCUCGGAUGGAUUUGAGUAAGAGCAUAUUGGGCCGGACCCGAAAGAAGGUGAACUAUGCCUGUGUAGGGUAAAGCCAGAGGAAACUCUGGUGGAGGCUCGCAGCGGUUCUGACGUGCAAAUCGAUCGUCAAACAUGGGCAUGGGGGCGAAAGACUAAUCGA
RNAcentral lists this ribosomal RNA (719 nucleotides) under Microascus verrucosus. RNAcentral's name for it is "partial large subunit ribosomal RNA". It matches the Rfam family "Eukaryotic large subunit ribosomal RNA", at positions 190 to 938 of the family's 3401-position model. Lineage: Eukaryota; Fungi; Ascomycota; Sordariomycetes; Microascales; Microascaceae. The record is from RNAcentral.